ACUUCUUUCCCUACGUCAUUGCUUCUUUUUGUUGACACGUGUUAGCAAUCUACCAUGUCUUUAUCUUCCCCCACUGCUUCUCUCAUCUGGUAUCUUCCACUAUCUUCUCGAUUUUGUUUGCCUCCCGUCAACCGCACCCACUGCUGCUACGCCGCUAAGGCAACUGUUGUUGGUAUAGUUAGCAAAGAGGAGGAACAACAACAGUCGUUAGGUCGACGCCCCAUCUUCACCGCCAGUUAUCCAUGUACUAGCAAUUGCGUUUCUCUUUUGAAAUGUCUUCACCGUUAACUAACAACCGAUAACCUCAAAUCUCAACCUCUAAUGUUGGCAAUCGCAUCACUUCAGUUGCAGAACACAGUCCACCGCCUGAAUUUCUUCCUAAACUUCUUUCACCUUAAUCAGAAAUCUCAAAUAUAGGUCGCCAGACUUUGUACAGCUUCUUCAUACCAUCUUCACGAAAUCGAUUCGUAGUUCUUAUGGAAAAAACCCUUGGUAUUGAAGUUAGGAGUAGAAAUGGACGCCUUUGUGCUGGCAAUCAUGUGUUAGAGUACCUGCAACCAUCGUGGGAGAGUUCGGUAUGUGCUAGGGUUCUAUUUAGGGGAUUAUGGUUGUUUCUUUACAACGAACCCAGUAACAACACCACCGAUACUACUAUUGGAAUCGUCGACAGUCGAUUGCAGUUCGUUUCCUCUAUGGUUUCCACAUACACUAAAGCAGCUACCUUCUGGUCACGAUCCUAGCCAGAAUUGAUUGACAGCAGGUUUGGAAUGGCUUCAGCUAAAGAACCUUAUAUAAACAGAAAUAAAGGUCUGGUACUUUACCCAUUUCUUCAUGUUUUUUGGCUGCCAGGUUUUACAAUUUCGUUUGGUUUAUUUUCAGUAUACAUCUAUUAAAGCUUGGAAAUAAGUGAAAACUUACUGGAAAGGAACCAGGACGAUCGGUACCACUGCCACUGUGCCACAAACCCAGUACGCCAGGUUUUACCUUCUCUGUUACCGUUAUUUUGCAUUUUUAUAUUACAUUUCAAAUAUAUGUCAUUCAUUUAGGUUGGAGAUAGGUUUUAAAAAGGAUACAAUCCUUUUAGUGGGUUUCCUUCUCCAAUUAGGAGUUAUCAUUAACAACCAAAUGGAUUUUACAGGGGGAAAUAUGGUAUGUUGAUUUCCUCAUCGUUAUUUUUAUUUAUUUUUAUCUUUUUUUUUUAAAUGAGAUGGUUUUCUGAUUUCUUUUAAAGAUUCUAGAUGAGCCUUCAGUUAAUUACCCAC
Molecule: long non-coding RNA, 1262 nt
Filed under: Lactuca sativa (garden lettuce)
Lineage: Eukaryota; Viridiplantae; Streptophyta; Magnoliopsida; Asterales; Asteraceae
Description: long non-coding RNA (LSAT_LNC008135)
Source: RNAcentral